This 271-nucleotide ribosomal RNA is filed under the name uncultured archaeon. Its description in RNAcentral is "partial 16S ribosomal RNA". It matches the Rfam family "Archaeal small subunit ribosomal RNA", at positions 716 to 982 of the family's 1478-position model. The record is from RNAcentral.
ACAGUCACUGACAUUAGAUACCCGCGUAGUCCAGGGUGUAAACGACUGCAGACUUGGUGUUGGAAAUCCUUCGAGGGUAUUCAGUGCCGGAGAGAAGUUGUUAAGUCUGCUACUUGGGAGUACGUCCGCAAGGAUGAAACUUAAAGGAAAUUGGCGGGGGGAGGCACCGCAACGGGAGGGAGCGUGCGGUUUAAUUGGAUUCAACACCGGAAAACUCACCAGGGGAGACUGUUACAUGAAACCCAGACUAAUGAUCUUGGUUGAUUUUCAG